Molecule: long non-coding RNA, 1722 nt
Organism: Anolis sagrei ordinatus
Lineage: Eukaryota; Metazoa; Chordata; Lepidosauria; Squamata; Anolidae
Source: RefSeq, a predicted model, not a curated record
GGUGUGAGUCUCCAGCCCAGAAGAAGGCUCAAAGUGUCCUAGGACACUUGUUUUGUAUUCCCAGCAGUCCUACCCAACAGAUAGUCUCAUCAAGUUUGGUCCUUGUUUCCUGGCUCAAGAAGAUUCUUAAUCAGGACAAAUAUGGAUCACCUUCUGGAUCUGGAGUGGGACAUUAUCAGGCCUUUAGGUUUGAAUGCAGCUGAUCCAUCCAAGGAUCUAGUCUAGGUGUACUACACAGCUUACCUUUCCCAGCUCUGGGCCUCCCCUGUCCACUGAGGCUGUCCAUUGGGUCCUCCUGAAGAGAAAGACUUCCUGUCACAGAUCAGUCAUCUUUGAUCAGCAAGGUGCUGGCAACACGAAUUUCCUUGGGCAGCCACCGGAAGUAGCCAUGCAUCAUACGAUGGCCCCUGUGGGACUCUAUUUUGCCUGUGCUUGAAAAUGAAGAGAAGAUGCAGAGAAGACUGUGUCUGAUGAGGCCCUUAGUCACACAUGGUCUCAACCUAGAGGGUAAUACAUUGCAUCAUCAUCUAUCUAAGACUGUGGGACUAUAUAUAUAUAUACUCUCUAUUUUAUAUAUGCAACCUUGGCUGCAACUCACUAUUAUUUUAACAACUCAAGAAAGCUGAAGCUCAAUUAUUUUUGUUGUAGUACAGCGUGAUAGUAACGUUACUACUACCGGUAGAAGGGAGAAGAGGACUGCGCAGGUGUUGGAGGAGGAGCAGCAGUGAAAGGAGAUUAGAGACAUAUUCAUGGCUCCAACUGAUUCCGAAUCCUACGAGGGUUUCUCAGACUGUGAAAUGGGGGAAGGAGAGGAAAGCAGGGGAGUUAAGCGGGCUACUCGUGAACAAGAAUCUGAUGAGGAGAUCCAAAGGAAGCGUAUCCGUGAUAUACUUAGUGCUCCAAAAGAAGAUGAAGAUUUUAUGGGUUUUUAAAGGAGUGAUGGGACUGGGAGUGACAUUGAGGAGGAGGAUGAUCUAGACUGGACCUGUGUACAGGAAAUUAGGGACAUCUGUACUCAGCCUUCCUCCAGUGAUGACUUUGAGGGGUUUGCAGAAGAGUGGCAAUUUGGGAACACUUGGGAGGACCUAAGUCUUGACAGACGCUGGCAAAGAGGAGAGAUGGAAGGCAGUGCUCGGCUGCAGGGAAUGGGGCAGCUGAAAGUGAUGAUGAAAGGGUGGGGAGCAGUUCAUCCUCUGAUGAGGAGUUAUAGGAUAUACGUUGGUUUGGUUUCAAUGGGUCUUUGCAGAAGGCAAAGUGUCUUUUCGGGUGUGAAUCUUUGUUACUGCCAUUACUCUCAAGCUUGGGUCCUUGGACUACAGAUCUUUGUGUUUCCGUGACUUCUGGUUGAUACUCCGUAAGUGCUGACUUCAACUCUCCCUUUUGAUUCCGGACCGUGUUUUGACAAUGACUACGUUUUUUUGGACUGCUUCUUCUUACCUUGGACAUGCCUGGACUAUGGACUGUUUUUGGACUAUGGACUGUUUUUGGACUCUGAUUUUGCUUGCUCCCACCUUGUUUUUCUGUGCCUUUUGGACCUUUUGAAUUACAAGCAGAUUGCUGUAUAUUUUUGUUAUCCCAGAUUAUACUUCGGGAUAAUCCGGAUUAUAUUUAAAUUGGGUUUUUUACUUAGCGGUUGCUAUAGACUUUCAGUUUGUGCUAGAGACACUGAAGCAAGUGUCUCUAAGCCUUUUUUGUGUUUAAUAAACCCGUGUUUGAACCUUU